GAUGAACGCUGGCGGCGUGCUUAACACAUGCAAGUCGAACGAAGCACUUUAACCUGAUUCUUCGGAUGCAGGUUUUUGUGACUGAGUGGCGGACGGGUGAGUAACGCGUGGGUAACCUGCCUCAUACAGGGGGAUAACAGUUAGAAAUGACUGCUAAUACCGCAUAAGACCACAGAGCCGCAUGGCUCGGUGGGAAAAACUCCGGUGGUAUGAGAUGGACCCGCGUCUGAUUAGGUAGUUGGUGGGGUAACGGCCUACCAAGCCAACGAUCAGUAGCCGACCUGAGAGGGUGACCGGCCACAUUGGGACUGAGACACGGCCCGAACUCCUACGGGAGGCAGCAGUGGGGAAUAUUGCACAAUGGGGGAAACCCUGAUGCAGCGACGCCGCGUGAGCGAAGAAGUAUUUCGGUAUGUAAAGCUCUAUCAGCAGUGAAGAAAAUGACGGUACCUGACUAAGAAGCACCGGCUAAAUACGUG
RNAcentral lists this ribosomal RNA (479 nucleotides) under uncultured bacterium. RNAcentral describes it as "partial 16S ribosomal RNA". It matches the Rfam family "Bacterial small subunit ribosomal RNA", at positions 28 to 507 of the family's 1533-position model. The record is from RNAcentral.